RNAcentral lists this ribosomal RNA (330 nucleotides) under uncultured Caulobacter sp. Its description in RNAcentral is "bacterial SSU rRNA". It matches the Rfam family "Bacterial small subunit ribosomal RNA", at positions 568 to 898 of the family's 1533-position model. The record is from RNAcentral. Lineage: Bacteria; Pseudomonadati; Pseudomonadota; Alphaproteobacteria; Caulobacterales; Caulobacteraceae.
AGCGUAGGCGGACAGUUAAGUCAGAGGUGAAAGCCCAGGGCUCAACCCUGGAAUUGCCUUUGAUACUGAUUGUCUUGAGUAUGGGAGAGGUAUGCGGAACUCCGAGUGUAGAGGUGAAAUUCGUAGAUAUUCGGAAGAACACCAGUGGCGAAGGCGGCAUACUGGCCCAUUACUGACGCUGAGGCUCGAAAGCGUGGGGAGCAAACAGGAUUAGAUACCCUGGUAGUCCACGCUGUAAACGAUGAGUGCUAGUUGUCGGCAUGCAUGCAUGUCGGUGACGCAGCUAACGCAUUAAGCACUCCGCCUGGGGAGUACGGUCGCAAGAUUAAA